Molecule: ribosomal RNA, 352 nt
Filed under: Togoperla limbata
Lineage: Eukaryota; Metazoa; Arthropoda; Insecta; Plecoptera; Perlidae
Description: partial 16S ribosomal RNA
Source: RNAcentral
GUCCUUUUGAUCGUAAUUUAAGGUCUGACCUGCCCACUGAUUUAAAUUGAAGGGCCGCGGUAUUUUGACCGUGCAAAGGUAGCAUAAUCAUUAGUCUUUUAAUUGGAGGCUGGAAUGAAGGGUUGGACGAGGCAUAAACUGUCUCAUUGUAAUUGAAGCUUGAAUUUAACUUUUGGGUGAAAAGGCUUAAAUAAGUUUAAAGGACGAGAAGACCCUAUAGAUCUUUAUAUUGAGGAUUUUAUUAAUAGUUUAGGUAGAUUAGUUUUAUUAGGGAACUAAAUAUUUUGUUGGGGUGACGGGAAGAUAAAAUAAACUCUUUCUUACAAAGGACACUGAUUUGUGUAUCGAUGAU